RNAcentral lists this unclassified non-coding RNA (305 nucleotides) under plant metagenome. RNAcentral's name for it is "partial contains 5.8S ribosomal RNA, internal transcribed spacer 2, and large subunit ribosomal RNA". The stretch from base 1 to 105 matches the Rfam family "5.8S ribosomal RNA", at positions 50 to 154 of the family's 154-position model. The record is from RNAcentral.
AAAUUGCGAUAAGUAUUGUGAAUUGCAGAAUUCAGUGAAUCAUCGAAUCUUUGAACGCACAUUGCGCCCGCCAGUAUUCUGGCGGGCAUGCCUGUUCGAGCGUCAUUUCAACCAUCAAGCCCCCGGCUUGUGUUGGGGACCUGCGGCUGCCCGCAGGCCCUGAAAAACAGUGGCGGGCUCGCUGUCACACCGAGCGUAGUAGCAUACAUUCUCGCUCAGGGCGUGCUGCGGGUUCCGGCCGUUAAACGACCUUCAUAACCCAAGGUUGACCUCGGAUCAGGUAGGAAGACCCGCUGAACUUAAGC